GCCCCGAUGGCUUAAUGGUUAGAGCGUCCGCCUCGAGUGCAGGAAGUCGAGGGUUCGAACCCCGGCCGAGUCA
Molecule: non-coding RNA, 73 nt
Organism: Potamilus streckersoni
Lineage: Eukaryota; Metazoa; Mollusca; Bivalvia; Unionida; Unionidae
Source: the annotation of a GenBank genome assembly